This 75-nucleotide transfer RNA is filed under the name Candidatus Thorarchaeota archaeon. Its description in RNAcentral is "tRNA-Cys". It matches the Rfam family "tRNA". Rfam says of the family: Transfer RNA (tRNA) molecules are approximately 80 nucleotides in length. Their secondary structure includes four short double-helical elements and three loops (D, anti-codon, and T loops). The record is from RNAcentral. Lineage: Archaea; Promethearchaeati; Candidatus Thorarchaeota.
GCCGGUUUGGCGGAGCAGCUACGCAACAGACUGCAGAUCUGUACCACCUGGGUGCAAAUCCCAGAGCCGGCUCCA